CCUUUGCUGGCGACCGGCGCACGGGUGAGUAACACGUAUCCAACCUGCCCUUUACUCGGGGAUAGCCUUUCGAAAGAAAGAUUAAUACCCGAUAGCAUAAUGAUUCCGCAUGGUUUCAUUAUUAAAGGAUUCCGGUAAAGGAUGGGGAUGCGUUCCAUUAGGUUGUUGGUGAGGUAACGGCUCACCAAGCCUUCGAUGGAUAGGGGUUCUGAGAGGAAGGUCCCCCACAUUGGAACUGAGACACGGUCCAA
RNAcentral lists this ribosomal RNA (251 nucleotides) under uncultured bacterium. RNAcentral describes it as "partial 16S ribosomal RNA". It matches the Rfam family "Bacterial small subunit ribosomal RNA", at positions 82 to 334 of the family's 1533-position model. The record is from RNAcentral.